Molecule: ribosomal RNA, 629 nt
Filed under: Salmonella enterica subsp. enterica serovar Paratyphi B var. L(+) tartrate +
Lineage: Bacteria; Pseudomonadati; Pseudomonadota; Gammaproteobacteria; Enterobacterales; Enterobacteriaceae
Description: partial 23S ribosomal RNA
Rfam family: Bacterial large subunit ribosomal RNA
Source: RNAcentral
GGCUUAGUGGUGGGGUGACUGCGUACCUUUUGUAUAAUGGGUCAGCGACUUAUAUUCUGUAGCAAGGUUAACCGAAUAGGGGAGCCGGAGGGAAACCGAGUCUUAAUUGGGCGUUAAGUUGCAGGGUAUAGACCCGAAACCCGGUGAUCUAGCCAUGGGCAGGUUGAAGGUUGGGUAACACUAACUGGAGGACCGAACCGACUAAUGUUGAAAAAUUAGCGGAUGACCUGUGGCUGGGGGUGAAAGGCCAAUCAAACCGGGAGAUAGCUGGUUCUCCCCGAAAGCUAUUUAGGUAGCGCCUCGUGAAUUCAUCUCCGGGGGUAGAGCACUGUUUCGGCUAGGGGGCCAUCCCGGCUUACCAACCCGAUGCAAACUGCGAAUACCGGAGAAUGUUAUCACGGGAGACACACGGCGGGUGCUAACGUCCGUCGUGAAGAGGGAAACAACCCAGACCGCCAGCUAAGGUCCCAAAGUCAUGGUUAAGUGGGAAACGAUGUGGGAAGGCCCAGACAGCCAGGAUGUUGGCUUAGAAGCAGCCAUCAUUUAAAGAAAGCGUAAUAGCUCACUGGUCGAGUCGGCCUGCGCGGAAGAUGUAACGGGGCUAAACCAUGCACCGAAGCUGCGGCAGC